Long non-coding RNA from Populus euphratica (Euphrates poplar), 477 nucleotides. RefSeq lists it as uncharacterized. The record is from RefSeq and is a predicted model, not a curated record. The transcript is spliced from 2 exons. NCBI's taxonomy places the organism in Eukaryota, Viridiplantae, Streptophyta, Magnoliopsida, Malpighiales, Salicaceae.
UGUGCGUCCUGUAAGCUGAGCAGCAAUCAAUGACCAUCUGUAAUGCCAUUUCGCAGUCAUUGAAUAGCUAAACUCGAUACAGAAUUAGAUUAAUCGGUGUACCGGUUGCCAACAACAGAGUGAAGCUUGACAAUGGUCUGUUCUUCCGCAUCCGAAAACUGGCCAUGCUUCAGAUCAGGACGAAGAUAAUUUGUCCACCGCAGCCUGCAGCUCUUCCCGCAUCUUUGAAGACCUUAAUUAAUUAUACAAGUAAAUAAAAACAAUUAGGUUAUAGCAUAAGAUGAAUGGAUGAUGUUAUGGAGAACAUUGAUGUGGAGGGAAAGGGGCAGAAACCAGCAUUCUUGGGGAUGAGCCGCCAGUUACGGGUGCCGUGUUGGGCGAUGUAAGAAGAGAGUUUGUUAUCUUCUUCAGGUGUCCAUUGUCCCCUUUUCACGUUGUCCUUCUCACAGCAUGGAAUCCUGCCCAUCUUUGUGUGCU